RNAcentral lists this ribosomal RNA (431 nucleotides) under uncultured bacterium. Its description in RNAcentral is "partial 16S ribosomal RNA". It matches the Rfam family "Bacterial small subunit ribosomal RNA", at positions 29 to 505 of the family's 1533-position model. The record is from RNAcentral.
AACGAACGCUGGCGGCAUGCCUAACACAUGCAAGUCGAACGAGACCUUCGGGUCUAGUGGCGCACGGGUGCGUAACGCGUGGGAACCUGCCCUUAGGUUCGGAAUAACUCCCCGAAAGGGGUGCUAAUACCGGAUAAUGUCUUCGGACCAAAGAUUUAUCGCCUUUGGAUGGGCCCGCGUUGGAUUAGCUAGUUGGUAGGGUAAAAGCCUACCAAGGCGACGAUCCAUAGCUGGUCUGAGAGGAUGAUCAGCCACACUGGGACUGAGACACGGCCCAGACCUCUACGGGAGGCAGCAGUGGGGAAUAGUGGAAGAGGGGCGAAGGCCUGAUCCAUCAAUGCCGCGUGAGUGAUGAAGGCCGUAGGGUUGGAAAGCUCUUUUACCCGGGAUGAUACUGACAGCACCGGGAGAAUAAGCUCCGGCUAACUCCG